This 481-nucleotide ribosomal RNA is filed under the name uncultured organism. RNAcentral's name for it is "partial 16S ribosomal RNA". It matches the Rfam family "Bacterial small subunit ribosomal RNA", at positions 329 to 801 of the family's 1533-position model. The record is from RNAcentral.
ACGUACACUCCUACGGGAGGCAGCAGUGGGGAAUUUUGGACAAUGGGCGAAAGCCUGAUCCAGCCAUGCCGCGUGCAGGAUGAAGGCCUUCGGGUUGUAAACUGCUUUUGUACGGAACGAAACGGCCUUUUCUAAUAAAGAGGGCUAAUGACGGUACCGUAAGAAUAAGCACCGGCUAACUACGUGCCAGCAGCCGCGGUAAUACGUAGGGUGCAAGCGUUAAUCGGAAUUACUGGGCGUAAAGCGUGCGCAGGCGGUUAUGUAAGACAGUUGUGAAAUCCCCGGGCUCAACCUGGGAACUGCAUCUGUGACUGCAUAGCUAGAGUACGGUAGAGGGGGAUGGAAUUCCGCGUGUAGCAGUGAAAUGCGUAGAUAUGCGGAGGAACACCGAUGGCGAAGGCAAUCCCCUGGACCUGUACUGACGCUCAUGCACGAAAGCGUGGGGGGCAAACAGGAUUAGAUACCCCUGUAGUCCCAUGAU